AACGAACGCUGGCGGCAGGCUUAACACAUGCAAGUCGAACGCAUCCUUCGGGGUGAGUGGCAGACGGGUGAGUAACGCGUGGGAACGUGCCCUUCAGUUGGGAAUAACCCAGGGAAACUUGGGCUAAUACCGGAUACGUGCGAGAGCAGGAAGAUUUAUCGCUGAAGGAACGGCCCGAGUCUGAUUAGCGAGUUGGUGGGGUAAUGGACAAACAAGGCGACGAGCAGUAGCGGUCUGAGAGGAUGAUCAGCCACCUUGGGACUGAGCACACGGCCCAAACUCCUACGGGAGGCAGCAGUGGGGAAUAUUGGACAAUGGGCGCAAGCCUGAUCCAGCCAUGCCGCGUGAGUGAUGACGGCCUUAGGGUUGUAAAGCUCUUUCGUCCGGGACGAUAAUGACGGUACCGGAAGAAGAAGCCCCGGCUAACUUCGUGCCAGCCGCCGCCGUAA
This 449-nucleotide ribosomal RNA is filed under the name uncultured bacterium. RNAcentral describes it as "partial 16S ribosomal RNA". It matches the Rfam family "Bacterial small subunit ribosomal RNA", at positions 29 to 523 of the family's 1533-position model. The record is from RNAcentral.